UGGAGGACUGAGAAGGUUGAGCAGCUUGUGUUGUGCUGCUAUAACUGGUUAUAACCUCCAAGAAUAACAAACAAACCACUAAAAUGACUGACUCUGUCAUAAGCAGAGCUGGUGUGUCUGUGUGUUUGUGAACAGAAC
Toxotes jaculatrix (banded archerfish) is the source of this 138-nucleotide small nucleolar RNA. RefSeq annotates it as small nucleolar RNA SNORA47. The transcript has a single exon. Lineage: Eukaryota; Metazoa; Chordata; Actinopteri; Toxotidae. The record is from RefSeq and is a predicted model, not a curated record.